CCUCUCUGGUAACAGAGAGGGCACAUGUAAACCCCAUCCGAAGCAAGACCGAAUAAGAAGCAUAUGGCUGCCCGUCAGCUUCAGGUAGGUCGCUUGAGUCUGGUGGCGACACCAGACCUGGAUAGAUGAUCAUCCACGACAUAACCCGGCUUAUCGCUUUGCUCAUAUA
Molecule: RNase P RNA, 169 nt
Filed under: Eubacteriales bacterium
Lineage: Bacteria; Bacillati; Bacillota; Clostridia; Eubacteriales
Description: partial RNase P RNA component class A
Rfam family: Bacterial RNase P class A
About the family: Ribonuclease P (RNase P) is a ubiquitous endoribonuclease, found in archaea, bacteria and eukarya as well as chloroplasts and mitochondria. Its best characterised activity is the generation of mature 5'-ends of tRNAs by cleaving the 5'-leader elements of precursor-tRNAs. Cellular RNase Ps are ribonucleoproteins.
Source: RNAcentral